GAUGAACGCUGGCGGCGUGCCUAAUACAUGCCAGUCGAGCGAACAGAUGAGGAGCUUGCUCCUCUGACGUUAGCGGCGGACGGGUGAGUAACACGUGGAUAACCUACCUAUAAGACUGGGAUAACUACGGGAAACCGGAGCUAAUACCGGAUAAUAUAUUGAACCGCAUGGUUCAAUAGUGAAAGACGGUUUUGCUGUCACUUAUAGAUGGAUCCGCGCCGCAUUAGCUAGUUGGUAAGGUAACGGCUUACCAAGGCAACGAUGCGUAGCCGACCUGAGAGGGUGAUCGGCCACACUGGAACUGAGACACGGUCCAGACUCCUACGGGAGGCAGCAGUAGGGAAUCUUCCGCAAUGGGCGAAAGCCUGACGGAGCAACGCCGCGUGAGUGAUGAAGGUCUUCGGAUCGUAAAACUCUGUUAUCAGGGAAGAACAAAUGUGUAAGUAACUAUGCACGUCUUGACGGUACCUAAUCAGAAAGCCACGGCUAACUACGUG
Molecule: ribosomal RNA, 497 nt
Filed under: uncultured bacterium
Lineage: Bacteria
Description: partial 16S ribosomal RNA
Rfam family: Bacterial small subunit ribosomal RNA
Source: RNAcentral